This 497-nucleotide ribosomal RNA is filed under the name uncultured bacterium. Its description in RNAcentral is "partial 16S ribosomal RNA". It matches the Rfam family "Bacterial small subunit ribosomal RNA", at positions 28 to 507 of the family's 1533-position model. The record is from RNAcentral.
GACGAACGCUGGCGGCGUGCCUAAUACAUGCAAGUUGAGCGCUGAAGGUUGGUACUUGUACCAACUGGAUGAGCAGCGAACGGGUGAGUAACGCGUGGGGAAUCUGCCUUUGAGCGGGGGACAACAUUUGGAAACGAAUGCUAAUACCGCAUAAAAACUUUAAACACAAGUUUUAAGUUUGAAAGAUGCAAUUGCAUCACUCAAAGAUGAUCCCGCGUUGUAUUAGCUAGUUGGUGAGGUAAAGGCUCACCAAGGCGAUGAUACAUAGCCGACCUGAGAGGGUGAUCGGCCACAUUGGGACUGAGACACGGCCCAAACUCCUACGGGAGGCAGCAGUAGGGAAUCUUCGGCAAUGGACGAAAGUCUGACCGAGCAACGCCGCGUGAGUGAAGAAGGUUUUCGGAUCGUAAAACUCUGUUGGUAGAGAAGAACGUUGCUGAGAGUGGAAAGCUCAUCAAGUGACGGUAACUACCCAGAAAGGGACGGCUAACUACGUG